UGGGUCUAACUCUAGGUGCAUCAUUGAUUGAACCAUCUCAUGGUCAAUUUAAAUAUUCCUCCACUCUCCAAUUGCCUAGUAGUCUAGUCUUCAUUUUCAUGAAGUCUACCAUGAAUACUUAAUCUUUAUUUAAAAAUAGAAAGAAAUAAUUUUUAUCUAUUCUUAAAUAAUUUUUUUUUAUAAUUUUAUAUCAACAUGUA
This 200-nucleotide long non-coding RNA is filed under the name Elaeis guineensis (African oil palm). RNAcentral's name for it is "long non-coding RNA (EGUI_LNC046633)". Lineage: Eukaryota; Viridiplantae; Streptophyta; Magnoliopsida; Arecales; Arecaceae. The record is from RNAcentral.